CACAUAUAAAUACACACAUGUGUGUGUGUGUAUGUGUAUAUACAUAUGUGUAUAUGUGUGUGUGUGUGUGUGUAUAUAUAUAUAUAUGUAUAUGUAUAUGUAUAUGUGUAUAUAUGUGUGUGUGUGUAUACACACACACACACACACACACACACACAUAUAA
Molecule: non-coding RNA, 163 nt
Organism: Podarcis lilfordi (Lilford's wall lizard)
Lineage: Eukaryota; Metazoa; Chordata; Lepidosauria; Squamata; Lacertidae
Source: the annotation of a GenBank genome assembly